This 216-nucleotide long non-coding RNA is filed under the name Homo sapiens (human). Its description in RNAcentral is "non-protein coding lnc-MEMO1-2:1". Lineage: Eukaryota; Metazoa; Chordata; Mammalia; Primates; Hominidae. The record is from RNAcentral.
CAAUGGCUUAACAAGUAUCACAGAUGAGGAAACAGACUUGGAGAGGUUAAGUGACAUGCUCAAGACAACACUGCUGACAGGGUCUUGCUACGUACGUUGCCCAGGUUGGAAUGCAGUGGCGUGAUCAUGGCUCACUGUAGCCUCGACCUCCUGGGCUCAAGUGAUCCUCCCGCCUCCGCCUACCAAGUAGCUAGGACCACAGGCGAAGCCACCACG